AAUAAUUUGGCCUAGCAUUC
This 20-nucleotide microRNA is filed under the name Drosophila pseudoobscura pseudoobscura. RNAcentral's name for it is "mir-2521-RA". The record is from RNAcentral. Lineage: Eukaryota; Metazoa; Arthropoda; Insecta; Diptera; Drosophilidae.